CUCGAAGAAGGGGCUCACAUCCUGGACACCUUCAGGAAGUACGCCGACGUGCCCUUCGUCGUCGGGGUGACACACCUCGACGAGGC
RNAcentral lists this unclassified non-coding RNA (86 nucleotides) under plant metagenome. RNAcentral's name for it is "partial contains 5.8S ribosomal RNA, internal transcribed spacer 2, and large subunit ribosomal RNA". The record is from RNAcentral.